RNAcentral lists this ribosomal RNA (407 nucleotides) under uncultured bacterium. Its description in RNAcentral is "partial 16S ribosomal RNA". It matches the Rfam family "Bacterial small subunit ribosomal RNA", at positions 30 to 526 of the family's 1533-position model. The record is from RNAcentral.
AUUGAACGCUAGCGGGAUGCCUUACACAUGCAAGUCGAACGGAGUGGCGAACGGGUGAGUAAUGUAUCGGAACGUGCCCAGUAGCGGGGGAUAACUACGCGAAAGCGUAGCUAAUACCGCAUACUAUUGGAGCGGCCGAUAUGGGAUUAGCUAGUUGGUGGGGUAAGGGCUCACACAGGCGACGAUCCGUCGCUGGUUGGAGAGGAAGACCAGCCACACUGGGACUGAGACACGGCCCAGACUCCUACGGGAGGCAGCAGUGGGGAAUUUUGGACAAUGGGGGAAACCCUGAUCCAGCCAUGCCGCGUGUGCGAUGAAGGCCUUCGGGUUGUAAAGCACUUUUGGCAGGAAAGCGGUACCUGAAGAAUAAGCACCGGCUAACUACGUGCCAGCAGCCGCGGUAAUUC